UCAACCAUCAAGCCUAGCUUGUCGUUGGACCCCUUUGCAGCUGAAAUAUGCGGCAGGUCCGAAAGAUAAUGACGGCGUCGUGUUUGACCCUAGAUGCAACGAGCUUUUUUAUAUAGCACGCAUUGAAGUGGUCGGCCGACCCGGUCUUUAACCAUCAUUUUCUAA
This 165-nucleotide unclassified non-coding RNA is filed under the name uncultured Capronia. RNAcentral describes it as "sequence contains ITS2". The record is from RNAcentral. Lineage: Eukaryota; Fungi; Ascomycota; Eurotiomycetes; Chaetothyriales; Herpotrichiellaceae.